UUAGAUCUACCAGUGCCCAAAAGAUUUCUUUUGGUUAUAUUUUGUGUAUGAGCAGAACUGAGAUUUACCUACGAUAUCGAUGUAUCACUACUGCACUGUGCCCCGGUGUAGGCUAUGUAUCUUGUCAUCGGCUAAUUCACAAGUCUGCGAGUUCCCGAAGUUGGAUCAAAAAAACAGGCAAGAAGCGAAUAGAUAGCAGAAGCUGUUUCAAGUCAAGUAAGCUGUCUGAGUGCCAUGAUUAUGAUCAAUUUCAUCAGCUCUAUUGGAAGAGCAAAUUUGUCAUAAAGACAAACAACUGUCAUGGAUAGGAUUAUAGUAAAAGUGUUGUUAAGUCAAGGUUGCAGCAGUGCCUUAUUCUACGCCUUCGUAUCCAACAAAUAUGUGGAACCCGCCUUUGUGUCCAACAAAUAUGUGGAACCCGGUUAACUUAAGCUUAACAAACAAAUAAUUUUUGCAUGCUAAAACAUGCAAGGAAAUAUAGUUAUGUCAAUUUUUCGUCACUUGGCGAGUCUUCCGCAGAAGAAAUAAAUAAAACUUUUAAAUAGCAACGAAAGCAACAACUAUGAUUGCACCUGUGUCUGUGUGCAUUACGUUGACACAUUCCUGUCUCAAAGCUGUAGAGCCAAGCACUCUCCCGAAUUGAUUCUAUACUUUUUCCAUUUCUUGAAUGUCAGUACAUUUUAGCAGUCAUUUGAACAAAUGAAUAUUAGUUAUUUUUGCAAUACAAAUUUUCAAAAUAAUAAAAUGUUAAAUAUGUAGAAGCCUGUGGCCCAGAACUUGCCAGGGAUAGGUUUUCAGCUGAAGUGUG
Styela clava is the source of this 808-nucleotide non-coding RNA. The record is from RefSeq and is a predicted model, not a curated record. Lineage: Eukaryota; Metazoa; Chordata; Ascidiacea; Stolidobranchia; Styelidae.